This 288-nucleotide unclassified non-coding RNA is filed under the name uncultured fungus. Its description in RNAcentral is "sequence contains ITS1". The stretch from base 1 to 97 matches the Rfam family "5.8S ribosomal RNA", at positions 49 to 154 of the family's 154-position model. Lineage: Eukaryota; Fungi. The record is from RNAcentral.
UAAAGUGCGAAAUGACGUGCGAUUUGCAUUAUCUGUGAGUCAUGAUAUUUUUGAACGCAACUUGCGCCAAGCAAUUGGCAUGUCUGUUUGAGAACCGUAUACAACUGCUCAGCGAGGUGGCCUUGGUGCAUUCGAUUUGUGCCUCGGCUGGAAGAUGGCAAGCGAGGGGUAAUGGUGGUCACUGCGAGUUGGAGCUUCGACUUGUCGCAGGCUUGUCGCAACAACCAUCCAAAGCUCUAAAAACACCAAACAGGUCUCAGAUCAGGCAAGAUUACCCGCUGAACUUAA